CGCCCCUGGCAGCCAGUGGCUGUGGGUUUGCACAGUGAGCCAUUGAUGAGAGACCGGCACUUGACUCUCAUUUCCUUGUUCCAUCAGAACGCUGUCCAACUGGGCGUACGAGUUUGACAAGUGGGCCCCCUCCGUGGUGAAGGUGUCUUACAAGGGAUCCCCAGCAGCAAGACGGGCCUUUGUCCCCCAGCUCCGGAGUGGGAAGUUCAACGUCUUGCUGACGACGUACGAGUACAUCAUCAAAGACAAGCACAUCCUCGCCAAGAUCCGUUGGAAGUACAUGAUUGUGGACGAAGGUCACCGCAUGAAGAACCACCACUGCAAGCUGACGCAGGUGCUCAACACGCACUAUGUGGCACCCCGCCGCCUGCUGCUGACGGGCACACCGCUGCAGAACAAGCUUCCCGAGCUCUGGGCGCUGCUCAACUUCCUGCUGCCCACCAUCUUCAAGAGCUGCAGCACCUUCGAGCAGUGGUUUAACGCACCCUUUGCCAUGACCGGGGAAAAGGUGGACCUGAAUGAGGAGGAAACCAUUCUCAUCAUCCGGCGUCU
RNAcentral lists this small RNA (552 nucleotides) under Pan troglodytes (chimpanzee). Its description in RNAcentral is "retained intron". The record is from RNAcentral. Lineage: Eukaryota; Metazoa; Chordata; Mammalia; Primates; Hominidae.